Molecule: ribosomal RNA, 1286 nt
Filed under: Paracerasibacillus soli
Lineage: Bacteria; Bacillati; Bacillota; Bacilli; Caryophanales; Bacillaceae
Description: bacterial SSU rRNA
Rfam family: Bacterial small subunit ribosomal RNA
Source: RNAcentral
UCGGGGUGACGCUUGUGGAACGAGCGGCGGACGGGUGAGUAACACGUGGGCAACCUGCCUGUAAGACUGGGAUAACUCCGGGAAACCGGGGCUAAUACCGGAUAACACUUCCUAACACAUGUUAAGAAGUUAAAAGAUGGCUUCGGCUAUCACUUACAGAUGGGCCCGCGGCGCAUUAGCUAGUUGGUGAGGUAACGGCUCACCAAGGCAACGAUGCGUAGCCGACCUGAGAGGGUGAUCGGCCACACUGGGACUGAGACACGGCCCAGACUCCUACGGGAGGCAGCAGUAGGGAAUCUUCCGCAAUGGACGAAAGUCUGACGGAGCAACGCCGCGUGAGUGAUGAAGGUUUUCGGAUCGUAAAACUCUGUUGUUAGGGAAGAACAAGUACCGUUCGAAUAGGUCGGUACCUUGACGGUACCUAACCAGAAAGCCCCGGCUAACUACGUGCCAGCAGCCGCGGUAAUACGUAGGGGGCGAGCGUUGUCCGGAAUUAUUGGGCGUAAAGCGCGCGCAGGCGGUCCUUUAAGUCUGAUGUGAAAGCCCACGGCUUAACCGUGGAGGGUCAUUGGAAACUGGAGGACUUGAGUGCAGAAGAGGAGAGUGGAAUUCCAUGUGUAGCGGUGAAAUGCGUAGAGAUAUGGAGGAACACCAGUGGCGAAGGCGACUCUCUGGUCUGCAACUGACGCUGAGGCGCGAAAGCGUGGGUAGCGAACAGGAUUAGAUACCCUGGUAGUCCACGCCGUAAACGAUGAGUGCUAGGUGUUAGGGGGUUUCCGCCCCUUAGUGCUGAAGUUAACGCAUUAAGCACUCCGCCUGGGGAGUACGGCCGCAAGGCUGAAACUCAAAAGAAUUGACGGGGGCCCGCACAAGCGGUGGAGCAUGUGGUUUAAUUCGAAGCAACGCGAAGAACCUUACCAGGUCUUGACAUCCUCUGCUAACACUAGAGAUAGUGUGUUCCCUUCGGGGACAGAGUGACAGGUGGUGCAUGGUUGUCGUCAGCUCGUGUCGUGAGAUGUUGGGUUAAGUCCCGCAACGAGCGCAACCCUUGAUCUUAGUUGCCAGCAUUAAGUUGGGCACUCUAAGGUGACUGCCGGUGACAAACCGGAGGAAGGUGGGGAUGACGUCAAAUCAUCAUGCCCCUUAUGACCUGGGCUACACACGUGCUACAAUGGAUGGAACAAAGGGCAGCGAAGCCGCGAGGUGAAGCAAAUCCCAUAAAACCAUUCUCAGUUCGGAUUGUAGGCUGCAACUCGCCUACAUGAAGCCGGAAUCGCUAGUAAUCG